AUGCCCAAGAGGAAGGUCAGUUCAGCUGAAAGGGCAGUAAAGGAAUAACUCAAGAGGAGAUCUUCAUGAUUGUCAGCUUAAUCUGCUCCUGCAAAAGUGGAAAUGAAGCCAAAAAGGCAGCAGGAAAGGAUAAAUCUUCAGACAAACGAAUGUAAAGGAGAAAAGGGGAAGAGCAAAGGGAAAAUAGGCAAAAAUGGCUAAGAAACUAAAAACGAUUUACCUGCAGAAAACGAAGAGAGUAAAACCACGGAGAACCCAGCGUCUGAUGAAGCCCGAGACAAAGAAACCAAAUCUGAUUAAU
Molecule: long non-coding RNA, 301 nt
Filed under: Homo sapiens (human)
Lineage: Eukaryota; Metazoa; Chordata; Mammalia; Primates; Hominidae
Description: non-protein coding lnc-ANO3-6:1
Source: RNAcentral